RNAcentral lists this ribosomal RNA (301 nucleotides) under uncultured bacterium. RNAcentral's name for it is "partial 16S ribosomal RNA". It matches the Rfam family "Bacterial small subunit ribosomal RNA", at positions 509 to 807 of the family's 1533-position model. The record is from RNAcentral.
CAGUAGCCGCGGUAAUACGAAGGGUGCAAGCGUUACUCGGAAUUACUGGGCGUAAAGCGUGCGUAGGUGGUGGUUUAAGUCCGUUGUGAAAGCCCUGGGCUCAACCUGGGAAUUGCAGUGGAUACUGGGUCACUAGAGUGUGGUAGAGGAUAGUGGAAUUUCCGGUGUAGCAGUGAAAUACGUAGAGAUCGGGAGGAACAUCAGUGGCGAAGGCGGCCAUCUGGGACAACACUGACACUGAGGCACGAAAGCGUGGGGAGCAAACAGGAUUAGAUACCCGCGUAGUCCCUGUCUCUUAUAC